This 424-nucleotide ribosomal RNA is filed under the name uncultured bacterium. RNAcentral describes it as "bacterial SSU rRNA". It matches the Rfam family "Bacterial small subunit ribosomal RNA", at positions 29 to 461 of the family's 1533-position model. The record is from RNAcentral.
AUUGAACGCUGGCGGUAUGCCUUACACAUGCAAGUCGAACGGUAGAGGGGCAACCCUUGAGAGUGGCGAACGGGUGAGUAAUACAUCGGAACGUGCCCAGUCGUGGGGGAUAACGUAGCGAAAGCUACGCUAAUACCGCAUACGACCUGAGGGUGAAAGCGGGGGAUCGCAAGACCUCGCGCGAUUGGAGCGGCCGAUGGCAGAUUAGGUAGUUGGUGGGGUAAAGGCCUACCAAGCCUGCGAUCUGUAGCUGGUCUGAGAGGACGACCAGCCACACUGGGACUGAGACACGGCCCAGACUCCUACGGGAGGCAGCAGUGGGGAAUUUUGGACAAUGGGCGAAAGCCUGAUCCAGCCAUACCGCGUGCGGGAAGAAGGCCUUCGGGUUGUAAACGCUUUGUCAGGGAAGAAAGUACUUCUGGGC